GCUGGGCACGGUGGCCUGUGCCUGUCGUCCCAGUGGCUCGGGAGGCUGAGGCAGGAGGAUCACGAGUUCAAAGCCAGCCUCAGCAACUUAGUGAGGCUCUAAACAACUCAGUGAGACCCUGUCUCUA
Molecule: small RNA, 127 nt
Filed under: Marmota monax (woodchuck)
Lineage: Eukaryota; Metazoa; Chordata; Mammalia; Rodentia; Sciuridae
Source: RNAcentral